Molecule: transfer RNA, 84 nt
Filed under: Streptomyces phage Bartholomune
Lineage: Duplodnaviria; Heunggongvirae; Uroviricota; Caudoviricetes; Stanwilliamsviridae
Also listed under: 3 other names
Description: tRNA-Ser
Source: RNAcentral
GGAAGGUGACCUACAGGUGUAGGAGAUUGGUUGCUAACCAAUUGUGCUGUAAAAGGUUCGGGGUUCGAAUCCUCCUCCUUCCGC